This 254-nucleotide ribosomal RNA is filed under the name uncultured bacterium. Its description in RNAcentral is "partial 16S ribosomal RNA". It matches the Rfam family "Bacterial small subunit ribosomal RNA", at positions 524 to 776 of the family's 1533-position model. The record is from RNAcentral.
CACGUAGGGCGCGAGCGUUGUCCGGAAUUAUUGGGCGUAAAGAGCUCGUAGGCGGUGUGUCGCGUCGGCCGUGAAAACCUGCAGCUUAACUGUGGGCGUGCGGUCGAUACGGGCAUCACUGGAGUUCGGCAGGGGAGACUGGAAUUCCUGGUGUAGCGGUGAAAUGCGCAGAUAUCAGGAGGAACACCGGUGGCGAAGGCGGGUCUCUGGGCCGAUACUGACGCUGAGGUGCGAAAGCGUGGGGAGCGAACAGG